RNAcentral lists this ribosomal RNA (253 nucleotides) under uncultured bacterium. RNAcentral's name for it is "partial 16S ribosomal RNA". It matches the Rfam family "Bacterial small subunit ribosomal RNA", at positions 524 to 776 of the family's 1533-position model. The record is from RNAcentral.
UACAGAGGGGGCAAGCGUUGUUCGGAAUUACUGGGCGUAAAGGGCUUGUAGGUGGCCAACUAAGUCAGACGUGAAAUCCCACGGCUUAACCGAGGAACUGCGUCUGAUACUGGAUGGCUUGAGUGUGGGAGAGGGAUGCGGAAUUCCAGGUGUAGCGGUGAAAUGCGUAGAUAUCUGGAGGAACACCGGUGGCGAAGGCGGCAUCCUGGACCAUGACUGACACUGAAAAGCGAAAGCCAGGGGAGCAAACGGG